UCCCCGUGCUCGCCGACGGGUAUCCGCAGCAGCGGCUCCAGGUGCCGCAGCAACCGGACGUCCGCCGGUUCGGACCCGGUCCCGUGGAG
RNAcentral lists this transfer RNA (89 nucleotides) under Actinokineospora sp. UTMC 2448. RNAcentral describes it as "tRNA-Ser". Lineage: Bacteria; Bacillati; Actinomycetota; Actinomycetes; Pseudonocardiales; Pseudonocardiaceae. The record is from RNAcentral.